GACGAACGCUGGCGGCGUGCUUAACACAUGCAAGUCGAACGGAAAGGCCCUGCUUUUGUGGGGUGCUCGAGUGGCGAACGGGUGAGUAACACGUGAGUAACCUGCCCUUGACUUUGGGAUAACUUCAGGAAACUGGGGCUAAUACCGGAUAGGAGCUCCUGCUGCAUGGUGGGGGUUGGAAAGUUUCGGCGGUUGGGGAUGGACUCGCGGCUUAUCAGCUUGUUGGUGGGGUAGUGGCUUACCAAGGCUUUGACGGGUAGCCGGCCUGAGAGGGUGACCGGCCACAUUGGGACUGAGAUACGGCCCAGACUCCUACGGGAGGCCGCAGUGGGGCAUAUUGCACAAUGGGCGGCAGCCUGAUGCAGCAACGCCGCGUGCGGGAUGACGGCCUUCGGGUUGUAAACCGCUUUCGCCUGUGACGAAGCGUGAGUGACGGUAAUGGGUAAAGAAGCACCGGCUAACUACGUG
Molecule: ribosomal RNA, 468 nt
Filed under: uncultured bacterium
Lineage: Bacteria
Description: partial 16S ribosomal RNA
Rfam family: Bacterial small subunit ribosomal RNA
Source: RNAcentral